UGUGCUAUAGAAAGACAUUUUGAACCAAAAAAAACACAGGAGUUUUGAGUCACCAAUUUUGACCUAUGGUUUUUCCAUUUGUGUGCUUGUAAACACCUCCCAACAUCAACAUCUUUAUGAAAUCAUGUUUAUAAAAACCAUUCCAAUCCAAAAAUAUAAAAACAAAAAAUAAAAAAAAGAUUCGAACCUUCUCAUAUAUAUUUAUAUAAGUAGAGCUUCUCAGUUGCAGAUGUCCGUAUUUAUUCUUACGCUGCAGAUUUCCACUUUACACUCCCUUUUCAAUCGAAAUUUCACAUCUCUACCGUCUAAUAUUUAGAUACAAUUGUAUAAAUAAUCUCUGUAAAAUUUCAACCAAUUUAGUUAUAAUUAAGACACUCAAAAAAACAUUAUUCUGUUAUAAAUAUGAACGGUUAAAGUUACACAGAAUUAUGUAUAUCCCUAAACCCUAACCCUAAACCCUAAACCCUAAACAUGAAUCACCCUAAACCCUAACCCUAAACCCUAACCCUAAACCCUAAACCUAAAUAACCCUAAAUAACCCUAAACCCUAACCCUUGAAUUGCCCUAACCCUAAUUAACCCUAAACUCUAAAAUACCCUAAACCCUGAAAUACCCUAAACCCUAAUUUACCCUAACCCCUGAAUUACCCUAACCCUAAACGCGAAUCACCCUAAACCCUAAACCAGAAUAACCCUAAACCACCUAAACCCUAAACCUGAAUAACCCUAAACCCUAACCGCUGAAUUGCCCUAACCCUAAUUAACCAUAAACUCUAAUAUACCCUAGACCCUGAAUUACCCUAAACCCUAAACCUAAUAACCCUAAGUCCUAACCCCAAACCCUAAAUCUGAAUAACCCCCACACCCAAACCUCUAAACCCUAUCCCUAAACCCUAAACCCUAAACCCUAUACUCUAAACCCUGAAUUACCCUAAACCCUAAUUUACCCUAACCCUUGAAUUACCCUAAACCCUAAACCUGAAUCACCAUAAGCCCCAACCCCAAACCCUAAACCCUGAAUUACCCUAAACCCUAAACCUGAAUAACCCCAAACCCUGACCUCUAACCCCUGAAUUGCCCUAACCCUAAUUAACCCUAAACUCUUGUAUACCCUAAACCCUGAAUUACCCUAAACCCUAUUUUACCCUAACCCCUGAAUUACCCUAAACCCUANNNNNNNNNNNNNNNNNNNNUGUGAAGGGUGCGUUGUACUCUUUUUCUCCUAUGAUCAAGGUUCAGUUUUUCUCCCACAGGGUUUUUGUGACUUGACGAGGUUUUUGACGAGGCAACAGAUCAGCACCAUCGGCAUAUCAGCGCGCGGCACAAGGGGGAGUGUUCUAGGAUAUUCUCUAUGUGUGCCUUGGCCUUAUGCCAAUAGGAUAUGUAGUUAGACUAGAUCUAUGUAUUCAUAUCCUUACCAUAUUGGUAUUGUGUAAUUCCCUAUAUAAAGGGCUCCUAUCAAUGAAUAAGAUGACUCUCUUGCUAUCUCUUUGUCUCUACACUUUAUUCUUCAUCAGAAUUCAUAUUUUUGAAUAAGUAUAAUUUUAAAAAUAUAUAUAUUUCACAUUAUAUUAAGUGUUUAAAUUUAAGCAUGAACAUAAUGAAAAAAUAUGGUUUCAAAAAUAUUUUUUAUAGAAUAAAGACAAAUUAAUCUAGAGCCUUAGAUUUGAGAAGGAUAAGAUUGAAUUUUUACUUUUUCAAUGUUGCCUCAGCCUUGAAUUAAUGAGCAACAUUGAAUGAGUGUAUCCGCCCAUGCCUCAGCCUUGAUUCAAAUUAAUAUUUUAAAUAGGAUGAGCGGCUAUUUUAGAUCGAAGAAGAGUUCGAAGGGCCAAAGGUCUGAAUCGUCUGAGGGAACCUCUAGCAAUCCUCAAACGUCGUUUCAGGUCCAGAUGACAGCCAGACGUGCGAGCCUUCUGGAGACGGUGCAGAGGCAACCGGAGGUGCCCCUUUCAUCGAGGCAGGCGGGCGUCCCUCUUUCCUUGAGGUAGCUGUGGCCUCAGACCCAGACGGAGGUGUCUGCACUCCGUAUGCCUGAGAUACACCGGGCGCCCACUCCAGGUCCUACUUCUUCGGAUAGUGGGUCAUCUGGGGUACAGAUGCCGCUGUCUCAUCUGUUCCUUCCGCGGAUGAUACCGGCCUUACCUGUAGUCGAUGGCUUAGGGACGCCGAUUUAUCCACUGCCCCUGCCAGUGGCUCCAUCAGCGGCGUACCGGUUCGUGCGUUUUGAUACGCCUCUUAUUUCCGUGAGGGUAUCAUCAUAGGCGACAGAGACGGAAUCCGUCGCGUCCGCCGCGAGUGCCUCAGGUAAUUAGUGAUGAAUGAUUUGUUUUCUUAUAAUUAAUAAUAAAGGGUCUCCGAUUUUAAUAAUCAAUUUGGUUCAUCAUGUGAUAGGCACCGUCGGAGCAAAGCCGACAAAGAAGAAGAGAGGCCCCGUCACAGGGAAGGCUCUCGAGAAGAUCGUGGGUACCGUGGGGAGGAUCGUCGUCAAUACUGACGGGGAUGACCACAUAGUAUCGGGCGGGAAGUCGAGGACGUACUCCGGCCGCGUGGGAGCGCUCAUUAGGGAUAGAGUCCCUAUGUUGUGGUCAGACUGGGGCGAGGUCCCACAGGAGGUUAAAGACAUGGUCCACAACGCGAUGUCGGUGAGUUUACAAAAUAAUAUUAUGUAUUACAUUGUUGAUUUCUCCAAAAAACAAAACCCAUAAACGGUUAAAUGCAGGUGUGGUUUGAGGUUCCCGAGCACCUGAAGGACAGCUGGGCGGACGUUGUGCAUGGGGGGAAGGUACGUUGGGAAGUUAAUGAAAAACAAAAUUGUAUGUGAUAUUAAUAAUAUUUCUAAUAUUUUUGUUGUAUCUGUAGGUACAAGGAGUGGAAGAACGAGUUGCGGAAUCACUGGACUACGCACGGGAACGCAUGUUCUGGUACCCCUGCUGAGUUCCAGUACAGGGAGUACGAGUGGCGUUGGCUUCUGACAUCAGAAUUCANN
This 2985-nucleotide long non-coding RNA is filed under the name Fragaria vesca (wild strawberry). RNAcentral describes it as "long non-coding RNA (FVES_LNC000028)". The record is from RNAcentral. Lineage: Eukaryota; Viridiplantae; Streptophyta; Magnoliopsida; Rosales; Rosaceae.